This 1683-nucleotide ribosomal RNA is filed under the name Triticum aestivum (bread wheat). Its description in RNAcentral is "partial small subunit ribosomal RNA". The record is from RNAcentral. Lineage: Eukaryota; Viridiplantae; Streptophyta; Magnoliopsida; Poales; Poaceae.
GUAACUCUAGCAAGGAAUCGGCACACGCCACGGGGGACGGUGGUAUAAGGUGGAGCUAGUAUAGCAACAUCACGAAUCCGCUUCGGGACGCAGCCAUCUUGUAGUUGUAGCAGUGGUGCGGCAGCACGACUGCCUUGAGGAGGGGCUUCGAAACGACCUAGCCUCGGACCCCUAGCAGUAGCUCGACAUGCACACGAUUCUUGAGCCUCCACGGCCUCAUUGCCACGAACCUAGCCAGCCUAGCCCUUCUUCUGCAUGCUGAUGAAGGAGAUGCAACACAGUUACGAAGGCAACGCUAGAUGUUCCGAGGCGGCGGAGGCAGCUGUAGCGGCCGCCCGUAGGAGCGGCGACGCCUCCAUCUUGGGAGGAGGAGGGGAGGGAGAGGGACAUAGGGUAGACAGGGAUAGGUAGGGAAGAGGGAGGGCAGGGGUAGAGAAACGGCGAGCGCAACGUGAAGAAGAGACUACGCCUACCUACUUCCCCGCCGGAGGAGAUCAGUACCUGCCCUUUCUCCCGGAAGAGGUACCGAUCGUGGUUACCUAAGAAAAGGGUAGCGGAGGGGAGAGGAAAAAUCCAAGUCUAGACAGUGGUCUUGGAGGAGAAGGGGAUACCUAAACUCUACCGACCCAUCAAAAAUACAUCCAAGUCUAGACAGUAAUCGUACUUACACACUAUACAGAUCUUGUGAAACGAUCGAAUACCUACUUCCUUAAUCAUCCAUCUGUUUUAUCAAUACGUUUACCACGUCUAUCAUACUUAUUAAACACGUAUAUAAAAUAAAACAAAACUACUACGUUUACUACAUUAAUAAUGGUCACGUGUAUGGAAAUAAUUAAAUAUUUAAACACGACUUAAAUAUAUCUACCUACUGUUGGCGUAUUGGGCUCUAUGUGACUAUCACGUUCGACGACCAAACCAACGACAACACACACGGAUAUACCGGUGCUAUUGAUGUUCCCGAUCUUAAUCUUUAAUAGUAUGAGGUCAGGCAAUACAAUACGAACUCUCUCUACAUCGAUCCAACAGGUUAGAUGGAAUAUAGAUACUUUGGUUACUAUAUUUAACGGUGCUGGAUAAUUCCUACUCGUCCCGAGGUAAUUCCUACUCGUGUAGGACUUGAAAUGUUAAGACAGUACCUCGAGGGACCAAAAUGGCUCCUGCUAGAUAACUAACAGAACCCAAUAGAGUUACUCUUACGGUUGUCCCGAUCCUCGGUGAGUAAACACGUCUACAGCCUCUGAGCAGUGUGAGCAACCCAGUAAGUGGUGGACAGGUUCAAGUUGCCACUUCACAGGCACGGGUUCCUACCUUACGGGGUCCUACCUCGCGGGUUCCUACCUCACACUCGUUUAUACACGACUAAGUGUGGUUCGACUGGUAUAAAAUGACAUAAACCAGUCUUUUUAGUACGGGGAUAUAUACACUACAUACUUUACAUUGUACCUGGAAUACAAUACAAAGAAACAACCUGACAUUAUACCUGUUAUACCUAAAUACCGAUAGAUUAUAUACACUUGAGAUCCUACAUGACCUAACAUUAUACUAGUAUACCUAAACACCGAGAUACAUACACUUGAAAAUUCUAUAUGAACGUGACCUAUGAACGAAAUUAUAUACACCGAGAUAUACCUAAACACGUGAGAGAUACUAGAACCACGUAAAAAAAUUCGAUAAAACAUGGUC